This 539-nucleotide ribosomal RNA is filed under the name uncultured bacterium. Its description in RNAcentral is "bacterial SSU rRNA". It matches the Rfam family "Bacterial small subunit ribosomal RNA", at positions 777 to 1318 of the family's 1533-position model. The record is from RNAcentral.
AAUAGAUACCCAGGUAGUCCACGCCGUAAACGAUGAGUGCUAGGUGUUAGGGGGUCCAACCCUUAGUGCCGAAGUUAACACAUUAAGCACUCCGCCUGGGGAGUACGGUCGCAAGACUGAAACUCAAAGGAAUUGACGGGGGCCCGCACAAGCGGUGGGGCAUGUGGUUUAAUUCGAAGCAACGCGAAGAACCUUACCAGGGCUUGACAUCCCUCUGACCGCUCUAGAGAUAGAGCUUCUCUUCGGAGCAGAGGUGACAGGUGGUGCAUGGUUGUCGUCAGCUCGUGUCGUGAGAUGUUGGGUUAAGUCCCGCAACGAGCGCAACCCUUGUCCUUAGUUGCCAGCAUUCAGUUGGGCACUCUAAGGAGACUGCCGGUGACAAACCGGAGGAAGGUGGGGAUGACGUCAAAUCAUCAUGCCCCUUAUGUCCUGGGCUACACACGUGCUACAAUGGCUGGUACAAAGGGUAGCGAACCCGCGAGGGGAAGCCAAUCCCAAAAAGCCAGUCACAGUUCGGAUUGUAGGCUGCAACUCGCCUA